RNAcentral lists this long non-coding RNA (565 nucleotides) under Strigops habroptila (Kakapo). RNAcentral describes it as "lncRNA (ENSSHBG00005001577.1)". The record is from RNAcentral. Lineage: Eukaryota; Metazoa; Chordata; Aves; Psittaciformes; Psittacidae.
GAAGGCGGCGGCGACCCUGUGACGGCGCGGCGGUCCUCGGCACGGCGCGGCGCGGCCCGGCUCCCUGUGAACCCCCGGCCGGGCGCGGGCUGCGGCCCCGUCCGGUCCGCCUGGCCUGGCCUCGCCGGGGCGCGGUGCCGGAUGAACGUUUGGGGGAUUUCUGAGCAGAACCUUUCAUGAAAGAAGACUGAGGAGCUAUGAUUUCAGUGACCUUAUAGAAAUCUGGAAUAUAGUCACAUAGCUCCAGCAGCUUAACAGAACGUUCAGUAAAGCAAAACCAACCAAUGUUCUGAGGGCACAGCUGAUGCUUGAACUUUUGUGUAAAUCUUACAGCUGGAGACGCAGACUGAGGUCGAAAGAUUAUGAUCAGGAAACCUUCAAUGUGUUUCCAGCUCAACCACCAACCUGAAUGUGAUCUGUUGCGUUGCCCUAUCUCUCCCUAUUAGCCACAUCUUUUCUAUAGCACAGUUUUGGGGGCAUUGGGACUGCAUCUUAUUACAUAUGUUUACAGUGAAUAGCACAAUGACUUUUAGGUGGGAGUAUGAUAAAUAAAUGCGUAACCAAA